Molecule: ribosomal RNA, 253 nt
Filed under: uncultured bacterium
Lineage: Bacteria
Description: partial 16S ribosomal RNA
Rfam family: Bacterial small subunit ribosomal RNA
Source: RNAcentral
UACGUAGGGUGCGAGCGUUAAUCGGAAUUACUGGGCGUAAAGGGCGCGUAGGUUGUUAUUUAAGUGAGAUGUGAAAUCCCCGGGCUUAACCUGGGAACUGCAUCUUAUACUGGGUAACUGGAGUGCAAUAGAGGGUAGUGGAAUUUCCGGUGUAGCGGUGAAAUGCGUAGAUAUCGGAAGGAACACCAGUGGCGAAGGCGGCUACCUGGAUUGGCACUGACACUGAGGCGCGAGAGCGUGGGGAGCAAACAGG